RNAcentral lists this ribosomal RNA (170 nucleotides) under uncultured Pyrobaculum sp. RNAcentral's name for it is "partial 16S ribosomal RNA". It matches the Rfam family "Eukaryotic small subunit ribosomal RNA", at positions 415 to 583 of the family's 1831-position model. The record is from RNAcentral. Lineage: Archaea; Thermoproteati; Thermoproteota; Thermoprotei; Thermoproteales; Thermoproteaceae.
CCUACGGGAGGCAGCAGGCGCGCAAAUUACCCACUCCCGGCACGGGGAGGUAGUGACGAAAAAUAACGAUACGGGACUCAUCCGAGGCCCCGUAAUCGGAAUGAGUACACUCUAAACCCUUUAACGAGGAUCAAUUGGAGGGCAAGUCUGGUGCCAGCAGCCGCGGUAAU